GUAACGGUGUCUUUAGACACCACCUCUGUCUUCGAAUUUUUUUUUAU
Picea glauca (white spruce) is the source of this 47-nucleotide non-coding RNA. The record is from Rfam. NCBI's taxonomy places the organism in Eukaryota, Viridiplantae, Streptophyta, Pinopsida, Pinales, Pinaceae.